CGAGAUGAGGAAAUAUUUGAUUCUGGUUUAGAGUGAAUGCUACAUUUAAGUUUUGAACUUUACACAUUCAAGUGAAUAGGAGUAAUAUAAUUUGGAUCAAGUAUUAACUUGUUUUAUUAUUUUUAUCGCGAACGGGUACAGAGUAUAUGUGAAUUUUUUAUCUAUUAUAUAUAUAGAAUUUGAAAUGAUUCUUGUGGAAAUGUAAUAAGUUAAUAAAUGGAAUUUGAAUAUUACUAACUUAAUGAAGUGUAAUAGAGAAAUACAUAGAGUAUUAGAUAGUUGGUGUGAUUAAAAGCAUACCAAGUCAGACAUGCUUUGCUGUGAUGAAAAGAACAACAGCUACAAUGAAACUGAGACACGGUUCAUACUUGGAAUCAAGGCAGAAGUGUGGAAUAGUAGGCAAUGUACGAGAAGUAUGACCUUCUUACAAAACAAAAUAAAUGAAGGAUGGCGGAUACGCUGUAAAAUUUAUGAUCUAGGUAGUUAAUAAUGAUAUACUAUGAUAUCUAGGAUAAGCACUAGCAAAUACUCGUGCCAGCCGCUGCGGUAAUACGGGAAGUGCGAGUGUCAUUCUGCUUGAUUAGGCGUAAAACAUGUGUAGAUGGUUAUAAAAUAUAGAAAUAAAAAAAACAAUCUAAAAUUGUAUAACUAGAAUUAUGUAGAUAUUAUUGGAAUUUUUUGCAUUUUAAUUGAAAAAUAAUAAACAAAAAGGAACAUUAAUGGCGAUAGGCAAAUAAUAAUAUAUAAUUGACAUUGAGACAUGAAGGCAUAGGAAUCGACGAAGAUUAGAUACCUUUUUAGUCUAUGCUGUCAACUAUGGGUAUUAUAUGUUUUUUUAUAAAAGACAUAUCAGUAAACGCGUAAAUACCCUGCCUUGGAAGUAUGUUCGCAAGAAUCAACCUAAAAGAAAUUGAUGGAGAUUAACUAUAAACGGUGGAGUAUGUGAUUUAAUUUGAUAAACCGCAAGGAAUCUUACCAAUAAUUGAAAUUAUAUAUAAUAAAAUUUAAAGAAAUAAAAAUUUAAAUUUGUCUUUUUUAUUAUUAUAAAAAAGAAAAAAUAAUAUUUAUAUAAAAAGAAAUAAAUAUUUGAUAUAUUAUAUAACAGGUGUUGCAUGGUUAUCGUAAGUUUGAGAAGUGAUUCGUUAAUAAUAACAGUAUCGAACUAAUUCUUGCUUUUUAGUUGAAUUUUGAAUUUUAAAUAUAUAUAAAAAUAUAUUAUAUUAUAAUUUUUUUAUAAUAAAAAUAUAUAACAGUGUUAUAUAUUUGUAAAAUAAUAUGUUUUCAAUUUAAAAUUUUUAUAUGUUAUUUCUAAAAAGAUGUUUUUAUCUCAUAUUUUAUUUUAAAAUAUAUUUAAAAUAAGUCAUUAUGAUAAAAACAAUAUAGAGGUGACGUUAAAUCAUUAUGACCCUUAUAUAUUGGGCUAUCCAUGUACUACAAAGAUAAUUACAAUAAUAUAAAAAUAUGUAAGUAUUUUUUAAAGAUUUAAAAAUUAUCAUGGUUCAAAUUAUUAUCUGCAACUUGAUAAUAUGAAGGUGGAAUCGUUAGUAAUCGUAUAUUAGUUUGGUACGGUGAAUUUAUACUUUAAUCUUAUACAAACAGCCCGUCACCUGUCAGGAAAUAGUUGCUUUGUUUAAAUUUACUCCUUCUGAUUUAUUUUAUAUAAUAAAAUUUAUAAUAAGCUUGUAGGAAUAAUGAAUAAGUGAUUAUUGACUGAGAGUAAGUCGUAACAUGGUCAUUGUAAGGGAACUUGCAGUGGGAUCAAUAUAAAA
RNAcentral lists this ribosomal RNA (1769 nucleotides) under Acrasis kona. Its description in RNAcentral is "small subunit ribosomal RNA". It matches the Rfam family "Bacterial small subunit ribosomal RNA". Lineage: Eukaryota; Heterolobosea; Eutetramitea; Acrasida; Acrasidae. The record is from RNAcentral.